CGGCGAGUGAAGCGGCAACAGCUCAAAUUUGAAAUCUGGCCUCUUUGGGGUCCGAGUUGUAAUUUGGAGAGGAUGUUUCGGGUACGGUCCAGGCUUAAAUUUCUUGGAACAGAAUGUCACAGAGGGUGAGAAUCCCGUCUGGAGUCCGGACACGGCCUAUGUGAAACUCCUUCGACGAGUCGAGUUGUUUGGGAAUGCAGCUCUAAAUGGGUGGUAAAUUUCAUCUAAAGCUAAAUAUUGGCCAGAGACCGAUAGCGCACAAGUAGAGUGAUCGAAAGAUGAAAAGCACUUUGAAAAGAGAGUUAAAAAGUACGUGAAAUUGUUGAAAGGGAAGCGCUGGCAACCAGACUUGCGCGUCGGGGUUCCCCCUUGCUUCUGCCUGGGUUACUCCCCGGCGUUCAGGCCAACAUCGGUUUCGGGGGUUGGUUAAAGGCCUUGGGAAUGUACCUACCCUCCGGGGUAGACUUAUAGCCCAGGGUGUCAUGCGACCUCCCGGGACCGAGGAACGCGCUUCGGCUCGGAUGUUGGCGUAAUGGUUGUCAGCGACCCGUCUUGAAACACGGACCAAGGAGUCUAACAUCUAUGCGAGUGUUAGGGUGUCAAACCCUUACGCGGAAUGAAAGUGAACGGAGGUAGGAAGCCGUUAGGCUGCACUAUCGACCGAUCCUGAGGUUUACCGAUGGAUUUGAGUAAGAGCAUAGCUGUUGGGACCCGAAAGAUGGUGAACUAUGCCUGAAUAGGGUGAAGCCAGAGGAAACUCUGGUGGAGGCUCGCAGCGGUUCUGACGUGCAAAUCGAUCGUC
This 802-nucleotide ribosomal RNA is filed under the name Cyphellophora sp. RNAcentral's name for it is "partial large subunit ribosomal RNA". It matches the Rfam family "Eukaryotic large subunit ribosomal RNA", at positions 87 to 906 of the family's 3401-position model. Lineage: Eukaryota; Fungi; Ascomycota; Eurotiomycetes; Chaetothyriales; Cyphellophoraceae. The record is from RNAcentral.